RNAcentral lists this long non-coding RNA (216 nucleotides) under Manihot esculenta (cassava). RNAcentral describes it as "long non-coding RNA (MESC_LNC008288)". The record is from RNAcentral. Lineage: Eukaryota; Viridiplantae; Streptophyta; Magnoliopsida; Malpighiales; Euphorbiaceae.
UCAAGAUCAGCAGGAGAAGCAUCAUCUGACUCCUCAUCAGAACCAUCAUGUGCCUGUGCUGCUGCAUGUGCUGCUCUGCGGGCUGCAAAAUCUCUCCUAGAAUUAUAAAAAACAUUGCCUCUCCUAGUCAAACCCAUGUGGUGGAGGGUAGCCUCAGUGUAGGGGAUAUACUCACUGGACAAGGGUAAAGCAGACUCGGUACCUGGGUCAACCCCU